Molecule: non-coding RNA, 246 nt
Organism: Pelobates cultripes (western spadefoot toad)
Lineage: Eukaryota; Metazoa; Chordata; Amphibia; Anura; Pelobatidae
Source: the annotation of a GenBank genome assembly
GCGUUUUGCUGCAAUGUGGCACUGCUUCUCCAGUAGCUAAUUGUGGUUUCAUGCCCUUUAGUAAAUACUAAGUAAUUUUGUUAUUAAACCAGCUGCUUCACAAUUUGUCUUGUGUUUUUUUCUUGACCUAAGUGUUUCUUGAUUAAGCUGUUAAUUUUAACAUUUGAACGUCCUAUCCUAUCCAUUGUUGUGUGUUUCCCCACCCUUGACUUUCCUUGGACUAUUCUUUCAUGCCUGUUAUGUUAC